Molecule: long non-coding RNA, 580 nt
Organism: Etheostoma spectabile (orangethroat darter)
Lineage: Eukaryota; Metazoa; Chordata; Actinopteri; Perciformes; Percidae
Exons: 2
Source: RefSeq, a predicted model, not a curated record
AUAAUUAAUGGGAACACGUGAAGUGUGUGUGUGUGUGGGUGUGUGUGUGAGUGUGUGGCUGUGUGUGUGUGUUUGGGUGGGUGUUUGGUUGUUACACCACAAGCCACCAGCACAUGCCAUGCCAGUGCAAGUGUGUGUGAUGUCAUAAACUGUACAUGCACACUUAUUCAUCAUUGGACCGAGGGGAAGGCAACUCCUGUCAACAAGUUCCAAGGCCGAAGUUGGAUGUUUAAAAUUGACCUUACAUAGGAUAAAAAUAUUAUAUUUACAAUUAUGCAUAUACUAUAUAUAUCGAAGUUUUUCCACAUUAUUGCACAAUGACAAUUUCCCUUUGUUUGUUUAAACUGUACAUACUAGAGAUCAGCUGAAAUUUAAAGAUUUCCAAUUGACGAAAUGUAACUUAUUUGAUGAGUGUAAUCAAAAUUUAAAGCCUGUAUGAAGUGAUGGUUACUGAACAGUGUGCCACUGUGGAUUUGCCUACCCCUUAAUGUGUUUUUCGUCUCAUGCUAACACUAUUACGAGCAUGUGUAUAAUUUUACGUAGCAUCGAAUAGAAAUAAAAGCUUAUGGUUCAUAUUGUA